UACGGGGGGAGCAAGCGUUGUUCGGAUUUACUGGGCGUAAAGGGCGCGUAGGCGGUCAGCACAAGUCAGUUGUGAAAUCUCCGGGCUUAACUCGGAAAGGUCAACUGAUACUGUGCGACUAGAGUGCGGAAGGGGCAACUGGAAUUCUCGGUGUAGCGGUGAAAUGCGUAGAUAUCGAGAGGAACACCGGUGGCGAAGGCGGCAUCCUGGACCGGUAUUGACGCUGAGGCGCGAAAGCUAGGGGAGCAAACGGG
This 254-nucleotide ribosomal RNA is filed under the name uncultured bacterium. Its description in RNAcentral is "partial 16S ribosomal RNA". It matches the Rfam family "Bacterial small subunit ribosomal RNA", at positions 524 to 776 of the family's 1533-position model. The record is from RNAcentral.